RNAcentral lists this ribosomal RNA (589 nucleotides) under Grosmannia penicillata. RNAcentral's name for it is "eukaryotic LSU rRNA". The stretch from base 182 to 335 matches the Rfam family "5.8S ribosomal RNA". Lineage: Eukaryota; Fungi; Ascomycota; Sordariomycetes; Ophiostomatales; Ophiostomataceae. The record is from RNAcentral.
GGCAUCUCGGAGGAUAUGUAGGUGACCUGCGGAGAUAUAUCAAAAAGGGGGAGAAUGCGGGGGGGAACGCGGGGAGCACCUCUAAAAGCGGGGGGGAGCCGGGGGGCCGCCGGAGGACCAGCGGCCGCACUCGGAACCUCUUCGGAUACUGAGCAGUCUGAGAAAAACCAUGAAUCGUUAAAACUUUCAACAACGGAUCUCUUGGUUCUGGCAUCGAUGAAGAACGCAGCGAACUGCGAUAAGUAAUGUGAAUUGCAGAAUUCAGUGAACCAUCGAAUCUUUGAACGCACAUUGCGCCCGCCAGCAUUCUGGCGGGCAUGCCUGUCCGAGCGUCAUUUCCACCCUCACGCGCCCCUUUAGUGCGUGGUGUUGGGGCAUACUGCGGCUGCCGCGAGGCGCCGCAGGCCCUGAAACCCAGUGGCGGGCCGGCAGAAGGCUCCGAGCGCAGUAAGCAUCACGCCCUCGCUCCGGACGCCCCUGCUGGCAGCUCGCCCUGCGGCGGAAACGCUUGCAGCAACCAUCUUAAAGGUUGACCUCGGAUCAGGUAGGAUUACCCGCUGAACUUAAGCAUAUCAAUAAGCCGGAGGAA